Molecule: ribosomal RNA, 253 nt
Filed under: uncultured bacterium
Lineage: Bacteria
Description: partial 16S ribosomal RNA
Rfam family: Bacterial small subunit ribosomal RNA
Source: RNAcentral
UACGUAGGGUGCGAGCGUUGUCCGGAAUUAUUGGGCGUAAAGGGCUCGUAGGCGGUUUGUCGCGUCGGGAGUGAAAUCCACUGGCUUAACUGGUGGCUUGCUUUCGAUACGGGCAGACUGGAGGUAUGCAGGGGAGAACGGAAUUCCUGGUGUAGCGGUGAAAUGCGCAGAUAUCAGGAAGAACACCAAUGGCGAAAGCAGCUCUCUGGGACGGUACUGACGCUGAGACGCGAAAGCGUGGGGAGCGAACAGG